GACCAGACUCCUACGGGAGGCAGCAGUGGGGAAUAUUGCACAAUGGGGGAAACCCUGAUGCAGCGACGCCGCGUGAGCGAUGAAGUAUUUCGGUAUGUAAAGCUCUAUCAGCAGGGAAGAAGAUGACGGUACCUGACUAAGAAGCCCCGGCUAACUACGUGCCAGCAGCCGCGGUAAUACGUAGGGGGCAAGCGUUAUCCGGAUUUACUGGGUGUAAAGGGAGCGUAGACGGCGAUGCAAGCCAGAUGUGAAAGCCCGGGGCUCAACCCCGGGACUGCAUUUGGAACUGUGUGGCUGGAGUGUCGGAGAGGCAGGCGGAAUUCCUAGUGUAGCGGUGAAAUGCGUAGAUAUUAGGAGGAACACCAGUGGCGAAGGCGGCCUGCUGGACGAUGACUGACGUUGAGGCUCGAAAGCGUGGGGAGCAAACAGGAUUAGAUACCCGAGUAU
This 447-nucleotide ribosomal RNA is filed under the name uncultured bacterium. RNAcentral describes it as "bacterial SSU rRNA". It matches the Rfam family "Bacterial small subunit ribosomal RNA", at positions 329 to 793 of the family's 1533-position model. The record is from RNAcentral.